ACUCAAAUGAAUAGACGGGGGCUCACACAAGCGGUGGAGCAUGUGGCUCAAUUCGAAGCAACGCGAAGAACCUUACCUGGGUUUGACAUGCAUGGAUUAACUCCCGGAAACGGGAGCCACGCCCUUCGGGUGGAACAUGCACAGGUGCUGCAUGGCUGUCGUCAGCUCGUGCUGUGAAGUGUCGGGUUAAGUCCCUCAACGAGCGAAACCCCUGUCGCUAGUUGCUAACAGGUAAUGCUGAGGACUCUAGCGAGACCGCCGGUGUCAAACCGGAGGAAGGUGGGGAUGACGUCAAGUCCUCAUGGCCUUUAUGCCCAGGGCUGCACACGUGCUACAAUGGCGCCGACAGAACGAUGCAAGACCGUUAGGUGGAGCAAAACGCUCAAAAGGCGCCCCAGUUCGGAUUGGAGGCUGCAAUUCGCCUCCAUGAAGUCGGAAUCGCUAGUAAUCGCGGAUCAGCUACGCCGCGGUGAAUAUGUUCCUGAGCCUUGUACACACCGCCCGU
RNAcentral lists this ribosomal RNA (505 nucleotides) under uncultured bacterium. Its description in RNAcentral is "partial 16S ribosomal RNA". It matches the Rfam family "Bacterial small subunit ribosomal RNA", at positions 899 to 1397 of the family's 1533-position model. The record is from RNAcentral.